Molecule: RNA transcript, 1015 nt
Organism: Rosa chinensis
Lineage: Eukaryota; Viridiplantae; Streptophyta; Magnoliopsida; Rosales; Rosaceae
Exons: 4
Source: RefSeq, a predicted model, not a curated record
CUUUUGUCGUUGCCUCAAGCCAGUGGAGAUCGUAUUGGAGAUGGAAGCUAACUCUUGCGCUUCGUCUUGGAGAGGGAAACCUGAAGCCUGGCUCUGCAUAAAUAGAGGGUUGCAUGUCCGUAAUGCUGCAACUACGAACUGGGUUCAAUUUCCCAUUUUAGCACUUGAGCAAUUAGUCAGUGUGCAGGAACGAAAAGUUGGUGCGACUCUUCUUCUGGCUUAAUUUUGUCUCCUCCACCGCUGCUUUUGUACUCAUUUAGCAAAAGGACACCUCGAUCAUCCCUGUUAACAAAGCGAGUAUAGAGUCUCUGAGGUUACAGAGAAGAAUCGAAGACAAAAAAAAAACAAGGGUGAGGCUUCAAUCGUUUUGCUCGAUGUGAUUGGUACUUGGUAUGGUUUGCUUUGGAGGUGGUGGUUUAUCAUACUAGAUGGGAGACAAAAAGCUGGGAGGCUCUUUAGUUGUGGCGGGUAUUUCUGUUUUUCAAAGAGGGUGAAUGUGGAGAGUGAUCGGAACUCGACCAUUACUGACACUAUGUUCCAAUGUUGGAAUUUGCAGCAGCCAGGAUUGUAUUAAGACGUCGGACGUUCAUGAACGACCAUAUUAGUCUUAAUGCAGGAGGAGAUCCCAAUGGAGUUUGGCCGUUCAUGAACGACCAUGGUUGUUUUCAAAAGGAUAUGGGUUGUUCAUGAACAACCCUCCUUUUGUUUGAAGCAAGCUUUUUAGUUCUCUGUCAAAGAAGACAAGAAUAGCAUGACAUGGUGUAUACCUGGGCUUCUCCCCUGCAACUUGGCUUGUCGUCACUCUUUAUCUCUGCAGAACUUCAACAAUUAAUUGUUGCUUCUUUUUUCACACUCUGUUCGGCAGAGCUUUAGCUUUUGCUUGCUGAUUUCUUCCUCCCCCCUCUUCUCUUCACACCACUUCCUUUAUAUAGUAGUGUACUUGCUGAUCGGAUAGCUACCAGCCUCCCCAUACUUGUAAUUUUAAAUUUGAAUGAGAUGUGUUUAUCUCCAACUA